RNAcentral lists this ribosomal RNA (253 nucleotides) under uncultured prokaryote. Its description in RNAcentral is "partial 16S ribosomal RNA". It matches the Rfam family "Bacterial small subunit ribosomal RNA", at positions 525 to 777 of the family's 1533-position model. The record is from RNAcentral.
ACGUAGGGUGCGAGCGUUAAUCGGAAUUACUGGGCGUAAAGCGUGCGCAGGCGGUUUUGCAAGCCGGAUGUGAAAUCCCCGGGCUUAACCUGGGAAUGGCAUUUGGGACUGCAAGGCUGGAGUGCGGCAGAGGAGACUGGAAUUCCCGGUGUAGCAGUGAAAUGCGUAGAUAUCAGGAGGAACACCGGUGGCGAAGGCGGCCUUCUGGACGGCUACUGACGCUGAGACGCGAAAGCGUGGGGAGCAAACAGGA